AAUUUGCCUAUGAUGGUACUAAAUAUACUUUGAGAGAGGUAUUCUCUUUGAAAAUAAUCUAAUCUGAGGCAUU
This 73-nucleotide small nucleolar RNA is filed under the name Corchorus capsularis. Lineage: Eukaryota; Viridiplantae; Streptophyta; Magnoliopsida; Malvales; Malvaceae. The record is from RNAcentral.